UACGUAGGGACCAAGCGUUGUUCGGAUUUACUGGGCGUAAAGAGCGCGCAGGCGGUCGUACAAGUCGCGUGUGAAAGCCCCCGGCUCAACUGGGGAGGGUCACGCGAUACUGUUCGACUCGAAGGCAGGAGAGGGUAGUGGAAUUCCCGGUGUAGUGGUGAAAUGCGUAGAUAUCGGGAGGAACACCAGUGGCGAAGGCGACUACCUGGCCUGUUCUUGACGCUGAGGCGCGAAAGCUAGGGUAGCAAACGGG
This 253-nucleotide ribosomal RNA is filed under the name uncultured bacterium. RNAcentral's name for it is "partial 16S ribosomal RNA". It matches the Rfam family "Bacterial small subunit ribosomal RNA", at positions 524 to 776 of the family's 1533-position model. The record is from RNAcentral.